This 56-nucleotide transfer RNA is filed under the name Boodlea composita. RNAcentral's name for it is "tRNA-Lys". The record is from RNAcentral. Lineage: Eukaryota; Viridiplantae; Chlorophyta; Ulvophyceae; Cladophorales; Boodleaceae.
GUUUGCAUACUUGGCCUUACGAAGCAUCUUCAAAAGAAAGGUGGGGCUUGCAAACA